RNAcentral lists this long non-coding RNA (736 nucleotides) under Homo sapiens (human). RNAcentral's name for it is "non-protein coding FOXP1-AS1:6". Lineage: Eukaryota; Metazoa; Chordata; Mammalia; Primates; Hominidae. The record is from RNAcentral.
CUGAAGUCUACAUGCUUCUUGCAGUGUGAAAGAUGAUGCUGAUUUUUUUGUCCAUUGCUGGAUGGCAAGAUAAGAGAUCAAGAUAUAUACAAAUUAGUCUUUGAAAGAUCUUUCACCUUGUUCAAAGUUAAGAUCCUGUGAACACCAGAAUUGUUCCAUGGCCUCUUCACUAUUGAUUGCAACAGUAUCAUUUACCUGAAGUUACACAGUGACCACAAAAACCAUGUCCAGGACACCAAAUUUCUACUGCGAACUCUAGGCCAGAAGCUGACAACGGCCCAGGAACCAGGACUGCUUUCAGGAGGCGCUCAGAAGGGCAGCAAAGUACCCUCUCAACAUUAGUAAAAUGAAACAAAAGUGUCAGCCUUGGCUUCGCACACACUUACCCGUUCAUGGUGAGGAGGCAAAGCUUUGGGGCGGGAGAGGCAAUUUUCACACAACGGAAGAAAGUUGAGAGUUUGUAAGGGAGAAACUACAGGCGCUUGGAAGCCUGCUGGCUCUCAGGGCUCCCAGGCUGGCGGCAGUGUGAGGAAGGACUGAAGGUAUGUGGGCUAAACACAACAAAAGCCACUGCCUUACUCUAGAUUAAAUAUGCAGGAAGAGGCCCCUUUGCAUAAACACAAACACUCAGCAAAUGAAUAACUGGCUCAAUCAGACGCCCGCUGUGCCUUCUACCUGUCCUCACUCUGACAGGAGACACUGCCUAUUCCAGGGGACACCACUAAACAGGAGUCAG